CUCACAGGCUCAGCAGCAUGUGGAGCCUCUACCACCCAGGAAAAGACAAACCCCACUAUCCACCCCGGGCCUACCAUCCACCCCAGGCCAAGGCAAACGAGCCCCACCAUCCAUCCAACCUCAACUAAAGAAAAGACAAACCACAGGUAAAGGAGCCACACAAGCCCCACCCUCUACCCUGGCCAAAAAGAAGAAAAC
Long non-coding RNA from Cyprinus carpio (common carp), 198 nucleotides. RefSeq lists it as uncharacterized. The transcript is spliced from 3 exons. Lineage: Eukaryota; Metazoa; Chordata; Actinopteri; Cypriniformes; Cyprinidae. The record is from RefSeq and is a predicted model, not a curated record.